Molecule: long non-coding RNA, 946 nt
Organism: Miniopterus natalensis
Lineage: Eukaryota; Metazoa; Chordata; Mammalia; Chiroptera; Miniopteridae
Source: RefSeq, a predicted model, not a curated record
UGCGCCCAAACUGGCAACCUCUUGGUACAAGGGACCACGCUCAACCAACUGAGCCACACUGGCCAGAGCUCUUCCAAGUUCCUUUUAUGUUUCUAGUUUCAGUUAUUACCUGUAGCCAGAGAUCACAGUUUAUGCCUCUGAAACUUUUCUUUCUUUCUCUAGGUGUAUAGUUUUCAGCAGUCAACUCCUCUCUUCAAGUGGAACCCAGGGCCUUUGCCGUGGCCACAAUUGGAGCCCUUGCAAGAAUCCUACAAGGGCAGGAACUUUCCCUCACUACUGGCCCCAACCUGAAUCCCUGCAGCCUCCAUGAAAACCCAAAAGGACAAGGUUAGGAGAGCUUCCAGGUCGGUGAACAUGUGGAGGUCCAGGGAGAGCAACACAACCCAGAUGGUGGUGGAAGCUUCUUGCCCUUUCCGCAUGCCUUACCCUCCGCAUGUCUUCCAUCUGACUGUUCCUGAGUUAUAUCCUUUUAUAGUAAAAGGGUGAUCUAGUAUGUAAAAUGUUUCUCUGAGUGAGCUGCAGUAGCAAAUUAAUUAAAUCCAAGGAAGGGUUGUUGGAACUCUCAUCUCUAGCUGAUCAAUCAGAAGCGUGGGUGACAACCUGGAUUUGUGACAGGGUGUGAAUUGGGGUGUGGUGAACAGCCUCAUGGGACUGAAUACUUACGGAAUUUGAUGCUCUCUGAGUGGGUAGUGUCAGAAUUGAGUUGACUUGUAGGGCACCUAGCUGGUGUCUAAGAAUUGUUUGGUGUGGGGAGGGAUCCCACACAUUAGAAUUGGAGUCAGAGUCAUUAAUGCAUCAGAGAAAGAUAAAAUCUGCCAUAUCCCUGGGAUUCACAAAAAACGAGCAUGGAAGUAAGGAUAAGAUUAGAACAGAUGCAGAGAUAGAGCUUUCAAAAACGGUGGAAAGCCAACUCAAAAUUUUUUAGGUAAGUGGAGGCUGGGGGGGG